Nicotiana attenuata is the source of this 589-nucleotide long non-coding RNA. RefSeq lists it as uncharacterized. NCBI's taxonomy places the organism in Eukaryota, Viridiplantae, Streptophyta, Magnoliopsida, Solanales, Solanaceae. The transcript has 2 exons. The record is from RefSeq and is a predicted model, not a curated record.
AUUGUCUAUUGUGCCCCUUUUAACUGUUAACGUGUUCUGAUCUGAAGUGAAGUCCAAAGCUACUUCGCUACUGUGUCACGAUGUCAGUCACCACUGCGCUCUCUUGGUUAAUCUGUUUUCUCUUUCCUCACGUCAACGCUCAAGUUUUGUUAUUCCAAGGAACAAACAUGUACAGAAGAUACAAAAGAGGAAUCCUUAGUGGAAAAGCUGAUUGCAGAAGCAUCUGUAGGAGAAGAUUGUUGUGUUAUUAUAUUCACUGACGCCUUAGUGGAAUUGCAUAUUUAAACAACGAACAAAACCUUGCUGUUAUUUUUAUCUGUCGAAAAAAUUAUUGCUGUUAGACUGUGGGUAGUUUUGAUAUUUUCAGAAUCAUCUUUGAAUUAACCCUCAGUAAUUCACAGCAAUGCCGUAAUGAUUACACUUACUGGGUAGUCUGCUGAUGCAUUUACGACCAUAAUAGCUAGUGAACUGGUAUAUUCCAUUUCAUUUUUCAGUACUCUAAACCGAAAAUGUCAUAUAUGCUAUGCAGCAUAUGCUACAUCUACAUCUGGAUGGUCAUAAAGAAUAACAACUGCUAUCUUUCAUAUUU